AGUUUUCCCACUUGUUAUUUUGACACAUUUUGUUAAACUGUGAAUAUUCUCAAAAAAAAUAUUUUUGUGCUUGCAUAUUAAACCAUUUAAAAUUAAAAGUGCAAUGCUAAAUUUGUUUACAGGGGGAUAAAGAAGCAAAUCUGGGUCUCCCCUUUUCCCCUCUGUGUGACCGCAACUCCACUUUAGUGGCCCAAUCACAAAUUGGAUUCAUUGAUUUCAUCGUGGAGCCAACAUUUACUGUGCUGUCUGAAAUGGUAAAGAAGAUUGUGAAACCAAUUAUUGAAGAGGUUUCUCCCUCUGAAUUCCACCACUCCAGCGUCAACAGGUUUACCAGCAGUGAUGAAAAAAGGUGUGCAGCUCCAGAGCCCAUCUGUGUUCUGACCACAGUUGACUUCAAAAGCUUCGAGAUGACAUGGAACCAAGAAAUACAACAAAACAGAGAAUUAUGGAAGGCCCAGGAUGCUAAAGGUAACAACAUUUAUGCACUGCCCCUUUUUGUCAAAUAGUCAAAUUUACCUGAUGUGCAGAGUUGUAAGAACUUACAGAUACAGCCACCUAGAAUAUACCCACGAAUCAGGACCAAAGUUUGGCCGGAGUUGGGGGUGGUCAAUGGAAUAUCCCCUGAUGGCGCAAACAAUGAUCUGAAAAAGAACAACCCUGUUUGCUCUUGUCAGUCUAAACCGCAAAAUACAGUACUUUAAACCAUAAAAUACCAUAGAAUAUGUGUCAUCACACUGCAAUACACUUCACAAUAUACCCAGACGCAUU
Cynoglossus semilaevis (tongue sole) is the source of this 768-nucleotide long non-coding RNA. RefSeq lists it as uncharacterized. The record is from RefSeq and is a predicted model, not a curated record. The transcript has 3 exons. NCBI's taxonomy places the organism in Eukaryota, Metazoa, Chordata, Actinopteri, Pleuronectiformes, Cynoglossidae.